CAAUAGCGUAUAUUAAAGCUGUUGCGGUUAAAAAGCUCGUAGUUGGGUUUCUGUCAAGGACAACUGGUCCGCCCUCCGGGUGAGCACAUAGUUUGGUCUUGGCACCUUGUUCAAAACUGUUACUGCGCUUGGUUGUGUGGUGCAGUUUUGGGCACUUUCACUUUGAGGAAAUUGGAGUGUUUCAAGCAGGCACAUGCCUUUGGACACAGUAGCAUGGAAUAAUUAGAUUGGGCUUUUGCUCCAACUUGUCGGUUCCUGGAGCUGAGGUGAGAAUCAAUGGGGAUUGUUGGGGGCAUCUGAAUUUAGCCGUCAGAGGUGAAAUUCUUGGAUCUGCUAAAGACGGACAACUGCGAAAGCGUUUGCCCAGGAUGUUUUCAUUGA
This 381-nucleotide ribosomal RNA is filed under the name uncultured eukaryote. RNAcentral describes it as "partial 18S ribosomal RNA". It matches the Rfam family "Eukaryotic small subunit ribosomal RNA", at positions 592 to 976 of the family's 1831-position model. The record is from RNAcentral.